UUCCAAUGAUGAGCUUGCCAUGCUAAUACCGAUGCACCAGAGUUUAACUCUGGGUGUAAGUGAGUUCAACUAAACUUCUCACACUCGCAGUGUGCUCUGAGGAAA
Molecule: small nucleolar RNA, 105 nt
Organism: Puntigrus tetrazona (Sumatra barb)
Lineage: Eukaryota; Metazoa; Chordata; Actinopteri; Cypriniformes; Cyprinidae
Source: RefSeq, a predicted model, not a curated record